RNAcentral lists this ribosomal RNA (497 nucleotides) under uncultured bacterium. Its description in RNAcentral is "partial 16S ribosomal RNA". It matches the Rfam family "Bacterial small subunit ribosomal RNA", at positions 28 to 507 of the family's 1533-position model. The record is from RNAcentral.
GAUGAACGCUGGCGGCGUGCCUAAUACAUGCAAGUCGAGCGAACGGACGAGAAGCUUGCUUCUCUGAUGUUAGCGGCGGACGGGUGAGUAACACGUGGAUAACCUACCUAUAAGACUGGGAUAACUUCGGGAAACCGGAGCUAAUACCGGAUAAUAUUUUGAACCGCAUGGUUCAACAGUGAAAGACGGUCUUGCUGUCACUUAUAGAUGGAUCCGCGCUGCAUUAGCUAGUUGGUAAGGUAACGGCUUACCAAGGCAACGAUGCAUAGCCGACCUGAGAGGGUGAUCGGCCACACUGGAACUGAGACACGGUCCAGACUCCUACGGGAGGCAGCAGUAGGGAAUCUUCCGCAAUGGGCGAAAGCCUGACGGAGCAACGCCGCGUGAGUGAUGAAGGUCGUCGGAUCGUAAAACUCUGUUAUUAGGGAAGAACAUAUGUGUAAGUAACUGUGCACAUCUUGACGGUACCUAAUCAGAAAGCCACGGCUAACUACGUG